RNAcentral lists this ribosomal RNA (253 nucleotides) under uncultured bacterium. Its description in RNAcentral is "partial 16S ribosomal RNA". It matches the Rfam family "Bacterial small subunit ribosomal RNA", at positions 524 to 776 of the family's 1533-position model. The record is from RNAcentral.
UACGGAGGGUGCAAGCGUUGUCCGGAAUUACUGGGCGUAAAGGGCUCGUAGGCGGCCAACUAAGUCAGACGUGAAAUCCCUCAGCUUAACUGGGGAACUGCGUCUGAUACUGGAUGGCUUGGAUUUGGGAGAGGAAUGCGGAAUUCCAGGUGUAGCGGUGAAAUGCGUAGAUAUCUGGAGGAACACCGGUGGUGAAGGCGGCAUUCUGGACCAAUAUUGACGCUGAGGAGCGAAAGCCAGGGGAGCAAACGGG